UUUGGUUUAAGUUACAGAUGUGAAAGACCCGGGGCCGUCAACCUCGGAAAUAGCAUUUGUAAACUGGCAGACUAGAGUACUGUAGAGGGGGGGUAGGAAUUUCAGGUGUAGCGGUGAAAUGCGUAGAGAUCUGAAGGAAUACCGGUGGCGAAGGCGGCCCCCUCGGACAGAUACUGACACUCAGAUGCGAAAGCGUGGGGAGCAAACAGGAUUAGAUACCCUGGUAG
RNAcentral lists this ribosomal RNA (227 nucleotides) under uncultured bacterium. RNAcentral's name for it is "partial 16S ribosomal RNA". It matches the Rfam family "Bacterial small subunit ribosomal RNA", at positions 579 to 793 of the family's 1533-position model. The record is from RNAcentral.